GUAACAAGGUUUCCGUAGGUGAACCUGCGGAAGGAUCAUUACUGAGUGCGGGCUGCCUCCGGGCGCCCAACCUCCCACCCGUGAAUACCUAACACUGUUGCUUCGGCGGGGAACCCCCUCGGGGGCGAGCCGCCGGGGACUACUGAACUUCAUGCCUGAGAGUGAUGCAGUCUGAGUCUGAAUAUAAAAUCAGUCAAAACUUUCAACAAUGGAUCUCUUGGUUCCGGCAUCGAUGAAGAACGCAGCGAACUGCGAUAAGUAAUGUGAAUUGCAGAAUUCAGUGAAUCAUCGAGUCUUUGAACGCACAUUGCGCCCCCUGGCAUUCCGGGGGGCAUGCCUGUCCGAGCGUCAUUGCUGCCCAUCAAGCCCGGCUUGUGUGUUGGGUCGUCGUCCCCCCCCGGGGGACGGGCCCGAAAGGCAGCGGCGGCACCGUGUCCGGUCCUCGAGCGUAUGGGGCUUUGUCACCCGCUCGACUAGGGCCGGCCGGGCGCCAGCCGACGUCUCCAACCAUUUUUCUUCAGGUUGACCUCGGAUCAGGUAGGGAUACCCGCUGAACUUAAGCAUAUCAAUAAGCGGAGGAAAAGAAACCAACCGGGAUUGCCUCAGUAACGGCGAGUGAAGCGGCAAGAGCUCAAAUUUGAAAUCUGGCCCCUCCGGGGUCCGAGUUGUAAUUUGCAGAGGAUGCUUCGGGUGCGGCCCCUGUCUAAGUGCCCUGGAACGGGCCGUCAGAGAGGGUGAGAAUCCCGUCUUGGGCAGGGUGCCCGUGCCCGUGUGAAGCUCCUUCGACGAGUCGAGUUGUUUGGGAAUGCAGCUCA
Molecule: unclassified non-coding RNA, 815 nt
Filed under: Aspergillus sydowii
Lineage: Eukaryota; Fungi; Ascomycota; Eurotiomycetes; Eurotiales; Aspergillaceae
Description: sequence contains ITS1, 5.8S rRNA gene, ITS2
Rfam family: Eukaryotic large subunit ribosomal RNA (bases 524-815)
Source: RNAcentral